RNAcentral lists this ribosomal RNA (407 nucleotides) under uncultured bacterium. Its description in RNAcentral is "partial 16S ribosomal RNA". It matches the Rfam family "Bacterial small subunit ribosomal RNA", at positions 30 to 526 of the family's 1533-position model. The record is from RNAcentral.
AUUGAACGCUAGCGGGAUGCCUUACACAUGCAAGUCGAACGGAGUGGCGAACGGGUGAGUAAUGUAUCGGAACGUGCCCAGUAGCGGGGGAUAACUUCGCGAAAGCGUAGCUAAUACCGCAUACUAUCGGAUCGGCCUAUUUCGGAUUAGCUAGUUGGUGGGGUAAAGGCUUACCAAGGCGACGAUCCGUAACUGGUUUGAGAGGAUGACCAGUCACACUGGGACUGAGACACGGCCCAGACUCCUACGGGAGGCAGCAGUGGGGAAGUUUGGACAAUGGGGGAAACCCUGAUCCAGCCAUCCCGCGUGUGCGAAGAAGGCCUUCGGGUUGUAAAGCACUUUUGGCAGGGAAGCGGUACCUGCAGAAUAAGCACCGGCUAACUACGUGCCAGCAGCCGCGGUAAUAC